GUACUGAUGAAGAAUCCCAAAACAGGACGAAACAGAUGUCCGAUAC
This 46-nucleotide non-coding RNA is filed under the name Trichobilharzia regenti. The record is from RNAcentral. Lineage: Eukaryota; Metazoa; Platyhelminthes; Trematoda; Strigeidida; Schistosomatidae.